UACGGAGGGGGCUAGCGUUAUUCGGAAUUACUGGGCGUAAAGCGCACGUAGGCGGAUUAGAAAGUCAGAGGUGAAAUCCCAGGGCUCAACCUUGGAACUGCCUUUGAAACUCCUAGUCUUGAGAUCGAGAGAGGUGAGUGGAAUUCCGAGUGUAGAGGUGAAAUUCGUAGAUAUUCGGAGGAACACCAGUGGCGAAGGCGGCUCACUGGCUCGAUACUGACGCUGAGGUGCGAAAGCGU
This 239-nucleotide ribosomal RNA is filed under the name uncultured bacterium. RNAcentral describes it as "partial 16S ribosomal RNA". It matches the Rfam family "Bacterial small subunit ribosomal RNA", at positions 524 to 762 of the family's 1533-position model. The record is from RNAcentral.